UUGCUCCGGCUGGGGAACCGGCCCAAUGACUCUGAUGGAACCCAAUUAAUCUGCACCAGUGGAGGACCAGGCCCAGUGCUCUCAGAAGGAAAACUUUCCCUCCCCCACCCACUUGAACAGGGUAAAUGUACCGAGUUGCUUCCAGCCUGAAGGCCACCCCUAGAGGCUGAGCGGUGUCACAGCUUCAUCUCAUCCAGGUUCAGCUGCAGCCACUUCAUUCUGCGGCUGAGUCCCUGACAAUGAGCCUGGCCGCUUUGCUGCUGGUGCUGGCUCCAGGCGCGUUGGCCCAAUACACGGUGACCCAGGAGCCGUCCCAGGUCGCUGCCAAGGAAGGAGAAUCCAUCCAGCUCAACUGCUCCUACACGGGCACUGAGUACAGCGUGCAUUGGUACCGCCAGCCCCAGGGGGGCCAGCCGCGGUUCCUGGCGCUCCUGUCCUCUAGUCACAGAGACACCCGAGAGAAUUUCACCAUGAGCCUGGACACCAAAACCAAAAGCAGCUUCUUGUACCUGAACAGCAGCCGCCUGGAAGACUCUGCUGUGUUUCUGUGCGCGCUGAAGCACAGUGCCAGGUGAUCACAGGCAGCCCGUCACAAAACCCUGGGUGGGGGCAGGGCACACGGACCCGAGAGAGGAGACAAGCAGAAGUUAGAACAGACCAGAGGAUAUGAGCACAGAAGAGAAGAAAGGAAAGUAGACCAGAGUCGGCGAGAGGCAAUAAGAAUAAAAUGGAACAGAAGAGAACACACGGGAACGGACCGGAACAGGAGCGAUGUGAACAGAAUAAAGGGGAGAGAAGAGAAGAGGAGUCAGUAAUUUAAGGAAGAAACUUGAAGAAUCAGCUGGAAAAUUAUAGACAUUUUCACCUCUUUUGUCUUCCCCAAUUGCCUGGAUCUGUGGUUUUAUAUGAAAAAUGGCUUCCUUGUCCCACAACACUAGCAGAUGGGGAAGCAUUCCCUGGGGAGACAACACAGGAACUCAGUCAUUCCAAUGCGAUUUUCUCUGUUGUUCGGGUCAGACACUGUCAGACUGGUAACAUGCACUCAGACAUUCUCACAUACAGCCACUCACAGGACACACUCGCACAUGUUCUCUCUCUCUCUCUCACACAGACACACACAUAUACACACUUGCACAGACAAACACACUCUCCUCACCUAGACUCACACGCACAAAUAGAUUCUAGCACACAGUCAGAAACCUAUACACUGAAAUCACACACGCACACUCUCUGAUAUAUAUCCCCCAUCAUACACACUCAGAAAUAUAGAUAUCUAUGCAUCCACACCAUCAGUCACACACACACACUUCAUCUCAGAGUCAAAGAGAUCCAUACACCCUCUUAGAUGAUAAUAUCUUUGAUUGGAUCAGCUUCUGUUGGGGAGACAAGUUUUCCAGUUACACGGAGCUCUUCCUCCACUGGGAAGCGUGUCUCUCACCAGCAGAAGUUGCUCCACUGAAAGAUAUGACCUGACCCACCUUGUUCCUCCAAUAGUGUGGGACCACCACAGCUACAAGAACACGGCACACUCCUAGAUAAACAGCCUGUCCCCCCGAAUGCAUCCCACACACAGAGAAUUUCCUGUGUCAGACGUAGAUCUCUCGGCAAAGGGACCCAGUCCUGCCAGGGUCUGACAGACCCCACAGCACCCAUGAACUUCCUUCUCCUGCCAGGUAUUACUCCCUUUUGUACCCAGUCUUUGUUAUUCUCUCUAUCACACACACAGACACUUCCCCCCUCACCCUCAGGCAGGAUUUAAGAGCUUGGCGUCCCUUGGUAUUUUACAAGCAAAGAACUGAGUUUACGCCAGUCCCAUCUCUUCCUGUCAGCUCUACUGAGCACAACAGACACGUGCAGUUUGUAAAACUCCAUCUGUUUCCUGCUGGCUCAUCUCCAGCCCUCCACUGUAAGGGGACUUCCAGCCAAACGCCCGCCCCUCCCUGGGCGUGACGUCCGCUGGCCUCCCUCGCCCUGUUUUCCCCACACCAGGUCCCAGGCGGUUCCCCGCAGCUCAUGAUAUUAAGGAUCACAGGUGGCUGGGAACAGGGAGAUUCCUUCACCGGGUCCUUGGAAACCACCCACCGGUGCAGCUCGCUCAGCUUCCCCAGCAGCCAGCCUGGGCCCUCAGCCGUGUACUUGCACUAGUACAAAACCCACUGCAGCCUGUCAGGGAGGUGGGUGUGCGCGUGCGUGCAAAGACUUGUAGAGCCCUCGGGCCUGUGUGGGAAACGAUUUUACUCUCAGCGCUCACAUGCCACGGAGAUGAGUGUCAGCACAACAGAUAGUGCAGCAAGAGGGAGGGAUGGACAAAGCAGCGGGCAGGGUGGCUAAAUGGAUGCAUAGACAGAGGUGCAGCAGGAAAUCUAGCUAGCUAUUUAGAUACUGGGUCAGGAAAGCGAGGGAGCUCGAUAAUGAAGCAUGAAGACUGCAAAGAACGAGAA
This is a non-coding RNA of Mauremys reevesii (Reeves's turtle), 2441 nucleotides long. The record is from the annotation of a RefSeq genome assembly. Lineage: Eukaryota; Metazoa; Chordata; Testudines; Geoemydidae.